GGGGUUGUAGCUCAGUGGCAGAGCACUUACCUUGUAAGUGUGAGACCCUGGGUUCGAGCCCCAGCACCA
Molecule: transfer RNA, 69 nt
Filed under: Ictidomys tridecemlineatus (thirteen-lined ground squirrel)
Lineage: Eukaryota; Metazoa; Chordata; Mammalia; Rodentia; Sciuridae
Description: Spermophilus tridecemlineatus (thirteen-lined ground squirrel) tRNA
Rfam family: tRNA
About the family: Transfer RNA (tRNA) molecules are approximately 80 nucleotides in length.
Source: Rfam by way of RNAcentral